CUACGGGCGGCAGCAGUGGGGAAUAUUGGACAAUGGGCGAAAGCCUGAUCCAGCCAUGCCGCGUGUGUGAAGAAGGCCUUCGGGUUGUAAAGCACUUUCAGUGGGGAAGAAAGCCUUGGGGCUAAUACCCUCGAGGAAGGACAUUACCCACAGAAGAAGCACCGGCUAACUCCGUGCCAGCAGCCGCGGUAAUACGGAGGGUGCGAGCGUUAAUCGGAAUUACUGGGCGUAAAGCGCGCGUAGGCGGUCUGAUAAGCCGGUUGUGAAAGCCCCGGGCUCAACCUGGGAACGGCAUCCGGAACUGUCAGGCUAGAGUGCAGGAGAGGAAGGUAGAAUUCCCGGUGUAGCGGUGAAAUGCGUAGAGAUCGGGAGGAAUACCAGUGGCGAAGGCGGCCUUCUGGACUGACACUGACGCUGAGGUGCGAAAGCGUGGGUAGCAAACAGGAUUAGAUACCCUAGUAGUC
This 464-nucleotide ribosomal RNA is filed under the name Vreelandella stevensii. RNAcentral describes it as "partial 16S ribosomal RNA". It matches the Rfam family "Bacterial small subunit ribosomal RNA", at positions 339 to 795 of the family's 1533-position model. The record is from RNAcentral. Lineage: Bacteria; Pseudomonadati; Pseudomonadota; Gammaproteobacteria; Oceanospirillales; Halomonadaceae.